Molecule: long non-coding RNA, 1851 nt
Organism: Pogoniulus pusillus (Red-fronted tinkerbird)
Lineage: Eukaryota; Metazoa; Chordata; Aves; Piciformes; Lybiidae
Exons: 6
Source: RefSeq, a predicted model, not a curated record
CCAUUUGGGCAGAAGGAUCCUCCUUGGAUCAUCACUGCUUCCAGCCAUUGCCCCUUGUCCUGUCAUCAGGCAUCGUCAAGAAGAGCCUGGCUCCAGUCUCCUGGCACUCAUUUAUCCUUCUGUAUGCUGUCUUGCUACAAGCAGAUGAUGUCCUCAGUUCAGUACCUGGAGUCUGUGUAGUAAACAAGGAGGAAUAUGUGGGUGCACAGUUUGGAAGUCAUGAUCUGUCCCAGCCAGGUCCUGACUUGGCUGUAUGGUGAAUUGUGGAUCAUCUGCCUCGAGACAGCUGGAUGCCCCAAGGCACAAACUGACACCUAGUCUGGGUUUUCAGAUCCACCCAGUAAUUAAGACUCAGAAAGUGACUGUACGAAUAAGUUUGCAUGCAGAAGAUGAUACAGUGUGGAGUAACUGAUUAUAUUAGCAGUUCCAGUUCUGACUGGUGAUGUCCUUAGUCCUGCCAAAAUUCAGGAGUCAGUCAAGCUAAGAAAGCAGACGUCAGGAUGGUUCAAGAACUAGGACCUGCCAACGUGAGGUUUCUUCCAGUUGUCCACUGUUUCUUCCCACUGAGAUGAUUUGUAGCAAACACUCACCACAGUGCCUCACAUUUGUCUGCUCUUUAAUCCUGACCCACAGGUUCUCAGAUGGCUCGUCACCUCUCCCUCAGAAAAGCUACAUGAACUGCCACUGUUCUUUUAUGUGAAGCUCUCACACCCUCAUAACUUCCAAAUCUUCUAGUUGGUUUCAGCAAAAUAUCAGUCUCAAGCAUGUGAAGUUCCUACUACAUUUUUUGUGGAAUAGGUGUCUCCAUAGGUGAAGGGGAGAGGUGGAGGGACAGAUACACAACUGAGCAGUGGGAUGUAGGAUCUACUCAAUCAUUCUUAGACAUGAAAAUCCAGUUACAGAACUCAAGUGGGAAUCUAAAUAAAGGGGGAAAUCAGACCAUAUUAUUUCUGCUGUGUACAAAGCUGUUCUGUGUUUCUUAUGUAGAAGCAUUGUGAAGCUUUAAACCUAAACCAGAAAAAAACCAAGUGUUAGUUUCAGAAGAAAGGAACAGCUACAUCACAGGACACCCCAAGGGAGCCAAAGAAAAGAGUUCCUUGCACAGCAGAAGUUCAGACCACAGUCAGUAUCAAAUGCUAUAAUUGCCUGUGCUUUCCACAAUAUUUUUAACUGAGAUAUAGUCCCUGGAAAGUAAUGUAUGGGCUCAAGGAUUUGGUACUAUCAUAGAAAAUACCCUUCCUUGGGUCAUACAGAUUGAAGCUCCCAUUUCUAAGUAUCUCACAAGCAAAGAAAUCUCCCACUAAUGUCAUUCAUUUUUAUAGUUCUGGCACCACACAAGUUCUGACUGCUCAUUUGCUCUUUACUGAGGGCCAGUGACAAGCUCAUACCAAACUUACUGAAAAUAAUGAAAUAAAAGCCUUAAGACUCCAAAUGCAAAGACAUAGCUCCAGCUUGCUGUUUCAGAGUCCCUUGACUCAGAUUUACACAGGAGGGAGAAGGAAAGAAUUCAUUCACUGGAUGAAGUUACAAACUGCCAUUCAAAGCCCUGAAGAAUUAUUCUGAUGGUGUUAUUGACAAUGUGUUUAUGAGUUUCCUAGUGUAAACAGCCAUAUUCUCUGUGAAAACAAUAUAUGGAUGUAAAUCAGAGUUCCCACAGCUUAUUUGCUAACACAGACUUCUUGGAAUAGUUUUAAGGCUUAUCACUAUUUGUCUGCUUUCUAAAUAGGCAGGAAUGAGGAACAGAAACAGCAGUUAUUACCUCAGGCAGGUAUCUCCUUCAACAAGGCUACACUGGUGCCAAAGUUCAGCCUUGAUUUAAAAUUGCUGCAGGUCAGACAUUGAAGGAGCCCU